AGAAGAAGAAGAAGAAGAAACAGCAGCAGCAGCCAGGAUAAGAAGAGGAGCUUUCGUUUCCCGAAGGAAGGUCGGAGAGUGAUAGACAGUGACAUAUAAUUUCAAGGGAGCUGCUCUUUGAUCUUCUUUCCUGGAAUCGAAUUUUCCUUGGGUUUAGUUUUCCCCUCCAAAUCCUUAUCACUUGGGGGUUUUUCAUUCAUGGGAACAGUGGUUGUCUUGGAUGCUACACAAAGCCGAAACUAAAAACUGAGCUGAAUGAACCAUCGAAAGGUCAACAAAUUCAGUGUCAUGGACUAAAGAAACCCAGCAUAUCAGAGGAUUUCUGGACUACUAGUACAUUUGAUGUGGACAACAGUGCAGGUCAAUCACAAGGAAGUAUGUCAUCAAUGAGUACAAUCAACCAGAUGCACGAUCCACAUGGUAGCUCGGGCAAUGUACACAACCCUUCAGAGUUUAUAAAUCAUGGCCUUCUUCUGUGGAAUCAAACUAGGCAACGCUGGACAGGGAAUAAACGAUCCGAAAACCAAGCACCGCAGUUUCAAGAACCCAAGUUAGAUUGGAAUGCAACCUAUGAAAGUUUACUAGGGAGCAACAAGCCAUUUCGUCAACCUAUUCCGCUCAGCGAAAUGGUAGAUUUUCUUGUGGAUGUAUGGGAACAAGAAGGGUUGUAUGAUUGAUUAAUUUGAAGGGUGCACAAGGCUUCGUUUGGAAGAAGUUGAAUCAUAAUCACACUGUCAAGAGCUUCAUUUGAACCAUUGAAAUCUGCCUUGUAUUUGCUGAAACGCAUUCAAAUUAACAUUUUCCCUGCUGCCUGCCUAUUUUUGGUGCUUGGUUUGUUUUUCUCUUAAUGCCUUGGUUUGGUAAUUGCUGUAGAGUUUUAUAUCUUUACUCUGUUGUAGAAAAUUCAGCUGUGAUGGAAA
Molecule: unclassified non-coding RNA, 920 nt
Filed under: Hevea brasiliensis (rubber tree)
Lineage: Eukaryota; Viridiplantae; Streptophyta; Magnoliopsida; Malpighiales; Euphorbiaceae
Source: RNAcentral